Parus major (Great Tit) is the source of this 6012-nucleotide long non-coding RNA. RefSeq lists it as uncharacterized. The transcript is spliced from 3 exons. NCBI's taxonomy places the organism in Eukaryota, Metazoa, Chordata, Aves, Passeriformes, Paridae. The record is from RefSeq and is a predicted model, not a curated record.
UAUCCAUUGUACUAUCUUGGAAUUAUUGGCUGGGUAGAAUGUUACAGUAGAACACAAAAUCAUCUUCUUGUCUGAAUUACUGUCACCAUGGAAAAAAUUGGAAAAAAUAUUAUUUUGUGUCAACCAGUUGCACCCCACUGCACACACGGAUGUCUCUUAAAGCCAUCAAGAUAAUAUCUGAGUAUGUAAUCAUAGCUGGAACAGUAAGGAAUCCUCUUUUUCUGCAACAACCAAACAGCACAUUGAGCCCACAAAGACAUGACCCACAUUGUCACUCUCAGCCAAAGCUAGAAACUAGAUUUCUUCCUUUAUGGCCUUUGUGCUAUCAUUUUUUUUCCCCAAAAAAAUGUGCAGCUGGGAAAUUUUGAAGAAAACUCUAGCAUACUAAGUAACUUGCAUAGCUAAGGCUAAAACAGCAAGCUUUGCAAGAAAUUUUGGGCCAGAAACCAAGUAGGCUUAAAUUAUGUUUAAGAACUAUUUCUAGGUGUAUACAACAGUCCAUCACCAGUUAUUUUUCCAAAUCUUCUUCCUAUGGUACAGAUUAUGAAUGUAAUAAUUCCUGCUGCAUUUACCAUACUAAAAAGUUUUAAUUGCUUCAACGAAAGUGACUAUAUGUAUUUUAUUCAGCAUUUAUUGUAUAAUUCUUAAACAUACCAUAUAUAUAUAUAUAAAAUUGUGUUUCUAACUAAAAUUCUGCUUCAAGGAAAGCAAUGUAGUUUUCUUUUAACAUCUUAAUUUGCAAGAUGCUGAAUACUCCAAGCACUCUAAAAUAUGCAAGGGGUGCUUAGCACAACAGAGGAAGUGCACAGCUCUUGACAGCAUCCACUUUUUUACUGUUCCAUUAGGAACAACUUUCUGUUACCCCUAAUGAACAAAACUACUAUAUAUUUUGAUUCUGAAUUUGUUUUCUAGUUUAUGAAAUUUGCCAUUUUGAUCAGGUUUUGUUUGGGCAAAGAAAAAGCAAACACAGCUGGUAAAUAUAAGUUGCAUUUGCUUUCACCAUGUUUUCUUGCUUAUGGUUCUAACUUUAAUAUAAAGUUCUGUUGUUUAGUUCUGCUUUUAAAAGCAAACCAAACAUAUUCUACACUGCAAGAAAUCUGUGGGUAGCUACAUGGAACAAAUGCAUUUGUCCUCUAAGUGGUCAUUUUCCAUAAAAGCACAUUAAAGUACAAUUUAUCCAGUUUACUAAAACACUGUAAUAUUUCUGUGUUUAGCAUUAUGUUCAUGGAUGGAUGACUGUUCUACAACAGAAUGUAGUAUUUACUGUACUUGCAAUUUUCUAUACUUCUUGGCCACCAAUAACUAAGAAAGAUGAACUGUGAACAAGUCUAAUAGAUUGUGGUCUAUUAGUACACUGUAGUUUUAUUUUAGAAUAAACUGGGUGGAAGCACAGAGAAAGAGCACCACUUUGUUGAUUUAAGUGAACUUUUGCAGCCCAGAACCUGGAUCUUGUUUGUUCUGGGCAUAUAUGAAGCUGGAUGUAUUAUUUGUUACUUCUGUUUAAAUAUGGUUCUUGUUAAAUUGAUUCAGGGCAAGAUUUUUGAAACCUCAUUGCAAGGAACUUUGCUGUCUGGAUAAAAGGAGAGGGGAAAGGAGCAGCACUGGCUUAGGAACAAGACAGGGAUCAGAGAAUGGUUUGACUAUUUUGGUGCAGUUUGUGUUUCUAGGAACGAAAUUUCCCAUUAUAACAGUCGCUUUCAGUGGCUUAUUUUGCCAUUAACAUAGACAGAAAAAAUUGUCACUUAAAAUUUACAUCAAAACAUAGACCAGAUUCACGGCACCCUUAAAAUGAUGCAUGUAGCAUCCUACAGACUACAGUUAGUCUUUGGUAAAAUUUCUGACAGACGCAAAAUUUGUGCUGGUACAUUGCUUGGAUUUGAUCAGUGUAUCUGAGUUGCUAGUAAUUGUUGUCUUGCUUUUAAUGGAUAUGUGAGCUUUUAGUUCCAAACAAAGUGGGGAAAGUCAUGUGGUUUGAUAUAUUCUGGGAUCUCUUCCCAGAGAUAUCAAGAAACAGAACAUUAUAGAUCAAAGGAAGGAAGCCAUUGGAUUAUGCAAGGUCCAUAGUGAUGCCCACCCCCAGCUUUCCUAGCAGCUUGUUUCUGAGAUGCAGAUAUUUUGAGCACUAGAAGGGACUCCCCACAUGUAGAAGGGGAGUACCUUAGAAAGCUAGUGAAUUACACAUAGUUUUUAAGAGGACUUUAUCUGCAUUUUGUCAUCAUGAAAAACACUAUAGUUUUCCACAUUUUUUUUUUCUUUUGUGAUACAAUUAUACACUUUUUAGUAUCUCAUCAUGUUUUUCACCACUGUUAAAGGGAAAUGGACCAGGCUGGUUGGGCAAGAUUUUAUAACCUUGUACAAACAGCAAAACUGAAGGUCAUACAAAGUAGUGCUACCAAAAGCAACUCACUGAGCAAUAGAGAGUCAGUAGUAAUUUAAUUAGCUGCUUAUAGCAGUCAUAGCAUGAAAAGCCAGCUGUGUAACUGCAGCCUUCACAAUUUCCAGCAGAAAAGCAACACCAAAACAACCCCAAAUAUAUUCUUCAGGAUUCUCAAGUCUAAGGGCAUUUAUUUGCCUUUAGUAGCAUGAAUAGUAACUUCCCCAGAGGUGUUUGCUAAUGACUACAUAUAUUUGUUAUAUUACAUAUGCUUAUGAUGUUGGAUUUUAAAAUAAUAAAUAGAGAUGUGGAUGUAAUGAAGGCUUUUGGUUGGUAUGGAAGUAGAAAUCGCAAAAUAACUUUGAGUUUUCACCACAUGGAAGUGUUUUUGAAAGGUUUUUGAACAUAGAUAUAUUCCCCAUAGUGGGAAAGUGGGAAGGCAACUGAUCAUCAUUGCAAGAGCUAAACAUGGCAGUAACAUUCCUCAUAGUAAAAGCAGAAAUUGAAGCCAGAGGAGACAUGGACUGUGGCAGUGCCUCAUGGAAAUUCCUGGGCAGCCUGAGGUUCCUUCCUGUCUUCACUUCUUAAUAGUGCAACCUAAAGAGCCAGAGGAUUGUUGUGAGGUGUGCUGCUGUUGUGGGAUAAAUGGCAAUAACAACAUCUUGUAGAAGAGAGGGAGUUCAGGGUUUUUUUUUAUUCCUCCCAAAACUACCAGCUUGGUUUCUGCUUAUUGACAGCAGCAGUCAUGUGUGAGCUCCAACCCAGGUCCAAACAGGCUUUGUGCUAAACAUAUAACUUGGUUUGCUCUUCUCCUUUGGAUACUUCUCAGUGGUAAAAAUAAUAUUGCCCCUCACAACCCUGCAGACACCACUGAGAGUACUGGGAGCUGGAACUGUCACUGCCAGCCAUGAGAGAUUCACAAGUGCACAGCUCAUUUUUGGUACUAAUUAAUUAUGUCAUGAAAGGGAAAUUUAUUCUUCCCCCUUCCUUCCAGCCCCCACCUUCCCCAAUCCUUGCUAAUCUUGCUUUCUGGAUAACAGGGGGAAAAUGAGGAAGGUGUUUAGCAGUCUCAGUUGUCUCUGCGAUUCAAAUCACAGAAUGAAGCCGGAUAGCAAAACAAGUGCAGAUCAGGCAAAGACUGCCUGCUCCGCUUGUGUUUUCUCUGCUAGAAUCAGUUUCAAAUAUUAGGUGGAUUUUUUUUUUCUGUUGCAAUUAACUAAGAAAAAUGUUUCAAAGCUGUAUAAUUAAAAGCCAGCAUUUUAUUCGAUUUUAAAAUAGCCUUUAUGAAAUCUACUCCUGCCACUGGUAAUUACAAUGUACAUCUUAAUACACCUCUGCUAGGCCUGAGCUGGAGAUAACAGUCCUGUGUGUAUUGCAUUUGGCUUGUGCAUAGAAGGUAAAAUCCUUUAUCUUAUCUCAAUCUCCAAACAACCAGCCUCUCUUCCAAUUCAGCCCUAAUCUUCUUAGUAAAUAAUACUGAUAUUUUUCACCAUAACAAAAAUGGAGCUGCCAGAUUCAGACUGAUAACACCUCUCAUUUACACACCAUUCUCUGUCAAAAUCUGCCUGAUUUUUCUUAAUCUCUUUAACUCAUCAAAAAAUACUUUUUUACAUUCAGCCAUGGUAAGUUCCUUGCUACCAAAUAAUAUUAUUAUAAAUAAAUCUGUUGAAUACAGCUGCCUCUUUGGGUAAAUACUGGAACUCCCCUCUUUCCUGACUUGUUUCCUUGAAAGAUAACAAAUUAUUUUUGCCGACUUUAAUUUUGCUGUAAAAUUUGAUAUUCUAAUGAAAUUCCCUAAAAGGAUUGUUUAACUGAGAUCAUUCAUGCCUAAAAGUAUUUUUUUUUUCUUCCACAGGCUGUCAUAUCAGUUCACUUCUCGAGAAUGUUGUCUUUGCACUGCCAUCCUUUCCCUUUCAAUGGCUUAUCUUUAAAACAGAGGAAAUAUUUGGGUUUUUAUAGCUAUUAAUUAUCUCUGUAUGAUUUCUUAAAUGUAAAAAACACUGCUGAGAGAAUGGUAGGAAAAAAAGGUGGGUAUCUGGACUUCUGCUUACAAUGAUUAAAUGGAAAGAAUAUACUUACAUGUGACAAGCUUGUUUCGGCAGCAACCUAAACUUUAAGUGACACAGAAGGGGACCUGUCCUAACGUGGCAAAAGAUCCAUGUAAGUAAACAUUAACUCAGUCAUUUUACUUCAAAUCUGCUUUCACCCAUUGCUGUGCAGCAGACUACAGAAUAUACAGCACCAGCAAUUUUGGAUUUCCUGUAUCAGAAAAAACAGACUGAAAAUCUAUAGCAGAAUAUGGCUCAGAAUUUCCAGAUGUUACAGCUGGCAGGAAUAGGAAUUUGUCUUCUGUAGAGCCUGUGGGCAUAAAAUGUUAGUUCCUUGGUGGGAUAUAUUGAAAACCAUGGCAAAAGGGGCUUUGUUCCACUAACUUUCAGGAGGGUUUUACAGGGCCAUUUUUACUCCACUCUUUCUUACUUAUUAAAGCUUGCAGAAGUAUUUUUCAGAAGCAAGGCUGCACAUGUUCAUUAUGAAGUAAUGAGAUCCUAUUUCAAGGCUUGAAAUGUUGCUGACAUGCUUCCAAAGUGCUAAUUGGGCUGUUUUAAUAGGGAAACACUACAACAUCACUAUCCAGGCCAGAAUUAUGGAAAAGAUGAAUCAGAUUCUUCAGAUGAUCUGUCAUCUUUGUAUCACUCUGAGAGAGUUUUCAGAUGCAGUAUCUUUAUUUGGGGGGAAGUGGGUGCUCUGAGUGUGAGUUUCAGUGAUGACCCAAAGGUGCAAAUACUGAUGAAAAAGAAGAGCCACAUCACCGUGAGCUUGGCAGGCAGGGAGCACCAACCCUCACCUGGAAGUCUGCUGCCAUCCAGAGCAGUCUGGGACAGAGGGACAUCAAUGAGCCAAGAGGGAUGCCAAAAAUUGGUGAGAAGGAUUUGUAAGGAACUGCCUCCUUGAAAAGUCUUGGUUCUGCUGAAACCAAAUUACAUGGCAAACAUUCAACUUGGUUUCACCUGAAUUUUCUUUUGAAAGAAAGAAAGGAAAAAAAUGUCAAAAUAAUCGAUUUUAACAUUAAUGUGGGUUCAUUUUUCAUGUGAAAUUAUUUUUUGCUUUUGUAUUACAUUUUCUCUAAUAAAGUUAUUUAUUACAGCACAAAUUCAAACAUUAACUUCAAAAUGGGGUAUUAUGAAUGACCUUGAGUGUUCAAAUAGUUCUUUGCAAAAAAAUUUGAAAUAUCUGUAUUUCAGUCCUAGCACAGAAUGAAGCUCUUGUCACCAAAGUUCCUUCUGCGUAGUCUCAGGGUAAGUUUGCAGCUGAUUUGGGAAGUAAGGAUUGAAUUUGGACUUGUCUCUGUGGCUAGCACAGAAGCACUCACAUUUCUGAACAUGGUUUCUUACAUAUUCUGUGAUUUCUAAAAAGUCUUGAUCUAUGGUCCUUUAAUAUCACCAGAAACCUUUUCCCUGGCUGGAGCUUGGACCAUAGACACAAAACUUUUGAACACUUGUCUUGGUUUAGAGCAAAUUUGGGAGAAAACUUCCAAAUGGGUUCCGCACAGAAAGCAAAUUCAAGUGGCCCCUUCCCCAACUGGUUCGGGAAAAAAGAUUUCCUUGGAGAGAAGGGGAAAAAAAUGUUUAUUUAACAGA